GACGAACGCUGGCGGCGUGCUUAACACAUGCAAGUCGAACGGAAAGGCCCUGCUUGCGUGGGGUGCUCGAGUGGCGAACGGGUGAGGAACACGUGAGUAACCUGCCCUUGACUUUGGGAUAACUUCAGGAAACUGGGGCUAAUACCGGAUAGGAGCUCCUGCUGCAUGGUGGGGGUUGGAAAGUUUCGGCGGUUGGGGAUGGACGCGCGGCUUAUCAGCUUGUUGGUUGGGUAGUGGCUUACCAAGGCUUUGACGGGUAGCCGGCCUGGGAGGGUGACCGGCCACAUUGGGACUGCGAUACGGCCCAGACUCCUACGGGAGGCAGCAGUGGGGAAUAUUGCACAGUGGGCGGAAGCCUGAUGCAGCAACGCCGCGUGCGGGAUGACGGCCUUCGGGUUGUAAACCGCUUUCGCCUGUGACGAAGCGUGAGUGACGGUAAUGGGUAAAGAAGCACCGGCUAACUACGUG
This 468-nucleotide ribosomal RNA is filed under the name uncultured bacterium. Its description in RNAcentral is "partial 16S ribosomal RNA". It matches the Rfam family "Bacterial small subunit ribosomal RNA", at positions 28 to 507 of the family's 1533-position model. The record is from RNAcentral.